RNAcentral lists this long non-coding RNA (300 nucleotides) under Androctonus crassicauda. The record is from RNAcentral. Lineage: Eukaryota; Metazoa; Arthropoda; Arachnida; Scorpiones; Buthidae.
AAGAGAAUUUAGCAACAUUUGCUUCCAGCAGGAGGAGGAUAUGGACAUGAAAAUUUGUGCUAAGAAAUUGGAAGAGGCAGGACGAAAGACAGAACCUGAGGACUUAGCUUAUUCCAUUAUAGCUGGUCUCCCUGAAGAUUAUGAUAUGGUAAUGAUACAGUUCAACAUACUGGAAGACACCAAAUUCACUCCGGAAGCAGUAUCAGAUGCUUUAAUAACCAAGUAUGAAAGUCGGAAAGCUCAUCACUAGGAAACCAAUGAAACUGAAGCGCUUAUGACGAAACAAAAGGGGAAACCACC